This 253-nucleotide ribosomal RNA is filed under the name uncultured bacterium. RNAcentral's name for it is "partial 16S ribosomal RNA". It matches the Rfam family "Bacterial small subunit ribosomal RNA", at positions 524 to 776 of the family's 1533-position model. The record is from RNAcentral.
UACGUAGGGUGCAAGCGUUAAUCGGAAUUACUGGGCGUAAAGCGUGCGCAGGCGGUUCUAUAAGUCAGAUGUGAAAGCCCCGGGCUUAACCUGGGAACUGCGUUUGAAACUGGGAGACUUGAGUGUGGCAGAGGGGGGUGGAAUUCCACGUGUAGCAGUGAAAUGCGUAGAUAUGUGGAGGAACACCAAUGGCGAAGGCAGCCCCCUGGGUCAACACUGACGCUCAUGCACGAAAGCGUGGGGAGCAAACAGG